CGACCUAAGCUUCUGGGAAAAUUAGGAAUUGCCUUAGGGAUGGUCAGAUACUCAAAUGUAUUUUGGAGCAAGAUGAUGAGGAAUUAUAAUUGCUCUUUGGUGAUGCGACAGCAAGAAGAGGUGAAGAGGCCUAUUCAUGGGCUGGAGAUUCUGAGAAAUUGAAUUUUAAGCUUGAUAUGUAUGUACAAAAGAAGAAGAUUUUGUGAUGAGGGAAAUGAUAAU
Molecule: long non-coding RNA, 222 nt
Filed under: Elaeis guineensis (African oil palm)
Lineage: Eukaryota; Viridiplantae; Streptophyta; Magnoliopsida; Arecales; Arecaceae
Description: long non-coding RNA (EGUI_LNC010653)
Source: RNAcentral